This 416-nucleotide ribosomal RNA is filed under the name uncultured rumen archaeon. Its description in RNAcentral is "bacterial SSU rRNA". It matches the Rfam family "Archaeal small subunit ribosomal RNA", at positions 1 to 415 of the family's 1478-position model. The record is from RNAcentral.
UUCUGUUUGAUCCUGGCGGAGGCUACUGCUAUUGGGAUUUUAUUCCGCCAUGCGAGUUGAAUGAAUUUAGAUUCAUGGCGUACGGCUCAGUAACACGUGGAUAACUUACCCUUAGGACUGGGAUAACUCUGGGAAACUGGGGAUAAUACCGGAUAUUAGGCUAUGGCUGGAAUGCUUUGCCUUUGAAAUGUUUCUUGUAUUCGCCUAAGGAUAGAUCUGCGGCUGAUUAGGUCGUUGGUGGGGUAAUGGCCCACCAAGCCUAUGAUCGGUACGGGUUGUGAGAGCAAGAGCCCGGAGAUGGAACCUGAGACAAGGUUCCAGACCCUACGGGGUGCAGCAGGCGCGAAACCUCCGCAAUGUACGAAAGUGCGACGGGGGGAUCCCAAGUGUUAUUCUUAAUAGGAUAACUUUUCAUU